UGUUGCAGCAAUUGGGAAGGAUCGUCCUGUAUUAUCUAUCAUGGUUAUUAGCUAGCAAGAGUGAUGCCACAAGUGGAUCUGCCCAGUAAAUUUGUUAAUUACUUCCUUGCAAGAAUGACAGAGUUUUAAAAUCAGAAUGGGGCAAUAAAUGUGUCCACUAUGACAAAGUGAAGACAAAACGAAUGCAUCGAGUUACUAAUGUAGUGGUUUUCAAGGUUGGACAUUGAUAUCAACUAUGAUUAUUUAAUAGAGAAAUUCUGUUCAUAUGAAGCGAAAGAAAAGCAUGCAGUACCUUACAUUGACAGUGAUUAUUAGGCCAUUGUGGUACUUCAAAUUCUGAUAAAGAAUAUAUAUCAUGACCGAGAUUUGGGAUUUGGAGAAUCUCAAUUCUGAUAUGUACAUGCAUCUCCUUUUAUUUUGUCACGCUAUUGAAUGUUCUGAUAUGGGACUACUUACUCUGUAUAUCUCUUAUAUAUAAUAAAAUUGUCUAUAUGUAAA
Triticum dicoccoides is the source of this 498-nucleotide long non-coding RNA. RefSeq lists it as uncharacterized. The record is from RefSeq and is a predicted model, not a curated record. The transcript is spliced from 2 exons. Lineage: Eukaryota; Viridiplantae; Streptophyta; Magnoliopsida; Poales; Poaceae.